GACGAACGCUGGCGGCGUGCUUAACACAUGCAAGUCGAACGGUAAGGCUCCAGCUUGCUGGGGUACACGAGUGGCGAACGGGUGAGUAACACGUGGGUGACCUGCCCUGCACUUCGGGAUAAGCCUGGGAAACUGGGUCUAAUACCGGAUAGGACCAUGGUGUGGAUACUGUGGUGGAAAGUUUUUUCGGUGUGGGAUGGGCCCGCGGCCUAUCGGCUUGUUGGUGGGGUCAUGGCCUACCAAGGCGGCGCCGGGUAGCCGGCCUGAGAGGGUGGACGGCGACAUUGGGACUGAGACACGGCCCAGACUCCUACGGGAGGCAGCAGUGGGGAAUAUUGCACAAUGGGCGGAAGCCUGAUGCAGCGACGCCGCGUGGGGGAUGACGGCCUUCGGGUUGUAAACUCCUUUCACCAUCGACGAAGGGUUUCUGACGGUAGAUGGAGAAGAAGCACCGGCUAACUACGUG
Molecule: ribosomal RNA, 466 nt
Filed under: uncultured bacterium
Lineage: Bacteria
Description: partial 16S ribosomal RNA
Rfam family: Bacterial small subunit ribosomal RNA
Source: RNAcentral